Molecule: ribosomal RNA, 157 nt
Filed under: uncultured fungus
Lineage: Eukaryota; Fungi
Description: partial 18S ribosomal RNA
Rfam family: Eukaryotic small subunit ribosomal RNA
Source: RNAcentral
GCGGUAAUUCCAGCUCCAAUAGCGUAUAUUAAAGUUGUUGCAGUUAAAAAGCUCGUAGUUGAAACUUGGGCCUGGCUGGCAGGUCCGCCUCACCGCGUGUACUUGUCCGGCCGGGCCUUUCCUUCUGGAGAACCUCAUGCCCUUCACUGGGUGUGUC